The sequence is a transfer RNA, 74 nucleotides long. It matches the Rfam family "tRNA". From Rfam's summary of the family: Transfer RNA (tRNA) molecules are approximately 80 nucleotides in length. Their secondary structure includes four short double-helical elements and three loops (D, anti-codon, and T loops). The record is from Rfam.
GGCGGAGUAGCUCAGGUGGUUAGAGCAGCGGAAUCAUAAUCCGCGUGUCGGGGGUUCGAGUCCCUCCUCCGCUA